GAAAUGCGAUAAGUAAUGUGAAUUGCAGAAUUCAGUGAAUCAUCGAAUCUUUGAACGCACAUUGCGCCCGCCAGCACUCUGGCGGGCAUACCUGUUCGAGCGUCAUUUCAACCCUCAGAACCCCUUGCGGGAUCUGGCGUUGGGGAUUGGCAUCCAGCCAGCCCCGAAAUCUAGUGGCGGUCCCUCCGCGACCUCCCCUGUGCAGUAGCGAUACCUCGCAGCGGGACAGCGGUCUGACCACGCCGUAAAACCCCCAACUUCUCAAGGUUGACCUCGAAUCAGGUAGGAAUUCCCGCUGAACUUAAGC
Molecule: unclassified non-coding RNA, 307 nt
Filed under: plant metagenome
Description: partial contains 5.8S ribosomal RNA, internal transcribed spacer 2, and large subunit ribosomal RNA
Rfam family: 5.8S ribosomal RNA (bases 1-105)
Source: RNAcentral